RNAcentral lists this unclassified non-coding RNA (2963 nucleotides) under Hevea brasiliensis (rubber tree). The record is from RNAcentral. Lineage: Eukaryota; Viridiplantae; Streptophyta; Magnoliopsida; Malpighiales; Euphorbiaceae.
GUCAACUGAUAAGGCUUAAAAUUUAUUUACUAGUAAAAAUGCCCCAUGAGCUACAAUUAGUGACAAGGCCUGCAAAAAGCUGCAAGUACUACAAACUCAGACAACAAGGAGUUUUCAACUUAAUGGUCUGAAACAUUCAAAGAUACAAAAUUCAACACUAAUGUCAAAUGUGCAGAAUUGUACAAAAAGAAUUCAGAGCCUUCCAUGUCAAAAUCCAAAAUCCCUGCUAUAGUUGCAAAUGCUUUCCUAUUUUUCUAUCUAUAUCACUCUUUUGUUACCCUGUAAAUGGUAUGAAUGAAUCUCCAUCCGGAGGAUGCAAUCAUACUGAAUUCAAUUUCAACUGCUGUUUAUUGACUCCCAACCUGGAAUAUUAGCUGUAGCUUCAUUUACCAUCUUUACAAGCCUUACCUGCAGACAAUUGCAUUAUUGAAAGAAAAGAAAGUGCCCAUAAGUUACCUUCACACCAUGAUCUAUGCUUUAAUAAAGUGAAGAAAGGGCAAAAAUGAAUUAUAAUUCAGAUGAGAAAAAGCUUCUUAAGGGUCACUCUAUCAGCAAGCAUAGAACCAGUUUCUUCAAAUCACAAAUACAUAAAAGAAUCUUCAUAUUUGGCACACCAAACCAAUAUUGAUGAAAUUAGAGAUUGUUAAGAGUACCUUAUAAAACAAUUCAAGCAUUCUCAUUCUACCAAAAAUACAUACACCCAUAAAAUUUAAGUUCUUUUUGAGAAAGUUGAAGUCAGCAAAUAGCUAAUUCAAAAAAGCACAAGUUAUUUCCAUGAAUACGGAGAAAUGAAUUCUAGGACAGAGGUGGGGUAGCAGUAUUCCUGCUUUUGAUCUUAUUUAUUAAGUUCCCUCAUUAAAUUUGAUUCAGUAAUAUUUCCAAAUUAUUAUUUCCCAAAAGGUACUUUAAAGAAAGAAAUUUAGGUAGACAUACCACACUUUCAGGAACUCCUGGUGGGGGUAAGGAGAGGUUCUUUGGAGGAGGACCGCUUAAAUAAGAUCUCUUAUCAAAUCGCCAUUCUCCAAUUUUUCCAUAUGUUAGUUCCCCCUUUAAAUUAUAGUCACAUCCAUAAGUAUAAUGAAUAAUAAACCUCUUCCCAACUUCCAAAUCCCAUGGUGGCUGAAAAUUUUGAAGAGAUCUAAUUCUUUACAUGCAGCUACAAUAGACAGAACGAAAUAAAAGAAGAUUUCACACAUAUCGUCAGUACCUGUAUCAUAAAGUCCUUCCGAAGUAUAUGACGAACACCAUGCAAUGCUGAUGCUACAGCAUAGGCAUACCUUAAUUCAACAGAGACAUCAAAACAUUGAAGCAUACUUCAGUCAUUCAAGAUCAACAUUCAUCAAUCAAAAUAGAAACAAUCUUCUCAAAUACUACUCACAUUUCUAACACCCAACCAAAUGCCUUAUCAGUCUCAUGGUCAUCUUUCAUUCUUAAUGAAAUAUUUACCCAUGUCGGUGAAAUUUCCUCCAGUAUGGACUUUUUUAUUAUUACAGGAGAAUUGCCAAUUGGAUCAACAUUUGUCACAGGACCCCUUUCCUCCGGAUAAAACUUUCUAAUAAUUUUUUCAUGUUCAGUUGGUUUAAUGUAGAAAAAUGGAUACCCCACUGGAUGUUCUCCAUGUGCCAAGUUAGGCAAAGGAUUUACAAAUAUGUGGUCAGGCUCUGCCAUUAAAAUGUAUUCUUCAUCAAUAGUUGCUUUUUCCAGCCAUUGCACAAAAGCCCAUGGCCUAUUUAAGACGAUAUAACCUCGAUCCAGGCCCUCUGGAAGAGGAUCUACAACGAAUGUUGGAAUCUCAUCCAUCAAAUUGUCAGCUUUUCCUGAAUGCAGAAUUCGAGUGAACUUCCCCAUGUCUGAUCCAGGCAUGUCUUUCAUCUUCUUAUACCAAUAAUACAUAAUCCGGCAUUGCCAUUGGCUAUAAGGAGUAUCUGUCGCUGUAAGACCAACGUGGUAUCUCAAAUUUGACUUCCCUAAUCUCUUUACUUCAUGAGGCAUAUUAGCAAUGGAGUCAGAUAACUCCAAUCCAUUUCCUGAACUGGAGUUCUUAUAUUGUAUUACCAAUGUCAACAAGUUAUAUGUAGCAAAGAAAAAUCCAAGUGACAAAAGCACCAAAAAGAAUGGUGAUACUCGUCCCAUAUUUUUUCUCCCAGUCAUCUUGAAGUCCUAAGUUAGAAAAUGAAUUCCAACUCCUCAGAAGUUACAAUUCAACCAAACCCCAAUUCUCCUACCUACAACAGCAUUUAAAUUAGAAGGCAAACACUCCCACUUACACCCAUUUCAUUUCACAGCUCCAGAAAACAAUUGCAACAAUAAAAUCUCUAUACUUUCACGAAGAAAAUCCAAUGGGACCAAUCACAAAUCCAGGAUGAAAGGAAAACAUGCAUGCAUCAAUUUGCAUCGCAAUUAACAAAUAGAAAUGAUAGAGUCAAUGCGGCAUAUAAAGAAAUAACACAGUGCAAAAAGCCAGUCUCCAAAACACAGGUAAUUCAGCGCCAAACAAUCCCAGAUGCUCAAAAAUCAGUAAAACAACAAUCCACUCAUCAGCCAGAACACAGUUUUGAUUAAGAAAUGGGUAGACACAGAUCUGAAAUGACUAGUUGAAAGAAACUGAAUAAAAUUGAAAAGAAAAGAACCCAAAACAGCGAAAGAAACAGAGAUCAGAGAACUCAAAAGAAAAUUAAGAAAGAGCACAUUUUAAUUAACCUGAAGAUUGAAGGAGGAGCAGAGAGGGAGAGACUCUGAGUUUUUGUCAACGGUUGCUGGGAAACGCGGAGGUUUGACAAGUCGCCAACUGGAAAAUUCAAUCUAAUUAAUGUUUCAGAGUGCCAUUUUUAAUAAGGCUAACGUACUACGUGGGAUUGAUUUUUCAGUCGUUGGAAAUAAGCCUUGUGGAAGUAUGACGUGGAGGUAGCGACAACUACAUUUGGACAUUACUCCUUCACCUCGUCUUCUCUGUCUUCUUCUUC